Molecule: non-coding RNA, 333 nt
Organism: Pelobates cultripes (western spadefoot toad)
Lineage: Eukaryota; Metazoa; Chordata; Amphibia; Anura; Pelobatidae
Source: the annotation of a GenBank genome assembly
CCUCGCGCCAAGCAUAGAUAGAGCCUCUCAAGCCACUUGGCAAUUAGCAGGGCCUCACCAGUCACCAAAAAACACCAAGCCUAAUCGUUUCGCCUUACGGCUUAGCGAGCAAGCCAGUACAAGACCCAUGGGUACAAAUAAUAAUUGCAAUCUUUAUUGUUAUUUAAGUAUUUCUCAAAAAGAUGGUGAAGAAUCACCUCUUCCUGGCACCUCGGCUAGAAGUGAUACACCUUCAAGCAGAGGAGAUGUGGCUCCGACCUAAGGAGGCGACAAAUCCCCUACCUUGCCACAGCAAGGAAAGCAGAGUUAUUCAAACUCCUCCAUACAUCAACG